Molecule: long non-coding RNA, 1137 nt
Organism: Spinacia oleracea (spinach)
Lineage: Eukaryota; Viridiplantae; Streptophyta; Magnoliopsida; Caryophyllales; Amaranthaceae
Exons: 4
Source: RefSeq, a predicted model, not a curated record
AGCUGAUCUUGAUGAUGAUAACGUCGUAAGGUGAGUUCUGCAAUUCAAGAGCAUUGAUGAUCGAAGUCAAGUAUAUAUAGUUUAUAUUAUACUUAACCAUUAUAUAUUUGUUUGUUACAGUGCUGCAGAGUUUGUUAUAAUGAAGCUAAAAGAGAUGGAGAAGAUCACUGCCGAGGAUGUCACUAUGUUGAUGGAGUGCUUCAGGAAUGAUUCAGGAACAUUGACAGCAGCCGACAUAAUAAACACAGAAUAAUCUGCAUUCCGCACGGUGAACUCAAUUACGUUGAUGGAGAUUGACACGUUCAUAGAUUCCGAGUUCAAGCGUAACACAUCUGCUGUUUGUUUACUUGAAGAGGAAAGAGAAAAUGAGUGGCUUCAAUCAGUUGCUGCUGAAUGCAACAUCUCUGAGACAAACAAUACGUGGUAAAUAGUUUUUCGCGGAGCUCGGUGAUGAUGAUGAUUAUGGAAGAAACGAGCUGAUUUUACUGUCUCAUUUUACAUGGUAUUGCAUUGGCGUGCAAAUCAUAAAGCCAAAUGUCAACAAUUAAGUGUUUCUUCCAAGUAUCUGAUAUUCUGAUGGUAGAUGUAUUGAUGAUGGCUCUUCAAAUGAGAUUAUCAUAGGUUUGUCAAUCAUCAUACGCAAUCUCAAAAAAGAGCAUGCUUGGCUUGAUGAAGGAAGGGAUAUUAAAUGGUUAACCUGUCAUUCAAUGUGGCUGUAAUCUCCUGGUGUCCUAUGCGGUUGCUGUAAUGAUUUUGUGGCUUUAAAGUAAGGAAAAGAACCAUGGAAUUCUGUUUAGUUUAGUUUGUUGAAUUUCUUGGAACCACCUUGCUGCAUGUUAGUAUAAGAUUACAAGGCUGUCUUGAAGUCUGACACUGCUAUGUGCCUGCGUUGAAGCUCUUAUCACAUUUCAACGUCUUAAGUGCUACGCAUCAGACUAUGAUUCAUGGCUGGAGCCUGGGAGGAGAUGAAUUGCGACUUUGUAGUAGAAUGCAAAAGUAUUUAAAGUGUAUAUAAAUAUUGUUUUACUUAAUCUCUCUUUGAACAAAUAUCUGGUUGUAUGUUUGCUUUAGGGGUUCAAAUUUGCUUUUUUUAUAUUAGCACGCAUCGCGUGCAUAUAAGACUAGUUGUUAAUAUGU